CCUACGGGUGGCAGCAGUAGGGAAUAUUGCUCAAUGGGGGAAACCCUGAAGCAGCAACGCCGCGUGGAGGAUGAAGGUUUUCGGAUUGUAAACUCCUUUUGUUAGAGAAGAUAAUGACGGUAUCUAACGAAUCAGCACCGGCUAACUCCGGGCCAGCAGCCGCGGUCAUACGGAGGGUGCAAGCGUUACUCGGAAUCACUGGGCGUAAAGAGCGCGUAGGCGGGAUAGCAAGUCAGGUGUGAAAUCCUAUGGCUUAACCAUAGAACUGCAUGUGAAACUGUUAGUCUAGAGUAUGGGAGAGGUAGGUGGAAUGCGUGGUGUAGGGGUGAAAUGCGUAGAUAUCAAGAGGAAUACUCAUUGCGAAGGCGACCUGCUAGAACAUAACUGACGCUGAUGCGCGAAAGCGUGGGGAGCAAACAGGAUUAGAUACCCGAGUAGUC
RNAcentral lists this ribosomal RNA (440 nucleotides) under uncultured bacterium. RNAcentral describes it as "partial 16S ribosomal RNA". It matches the Rfam family "Bacterial small subunit ribosomal RNA", at positions 338 to 795 of the family's 1533-position model. The record is from RNAcentral.